Molecule: long non-coding RNA, 654 nt
Organism: Nerophis lumbriciformis (worm pipefish)
Lineage: Eukaryota; Metazoa; Chordata; Actinopteri; Syngnathiformes; Syngnathidae
Source: RefSeq, a predicted model, not a curated record
CUCAACACACAGCGACGAGCACAACACAACACAGAACGUCAUUGCGAUGCACAAGCAAAUAUGACAGCUGUAUAAGCGAUGCACCCUAAUUAAGGUCCGCAUGGAGCUGGAGGGGGCGUGGCCUCCAGCUCCGGCUGAAAAUCGGGAGAUUUUCGGGAGAAUAUUUGUCCCGGGAGGUUUUCGGGAGAGGCGCUGAAUUUCGAGAGUCUCCCGGAAAAUUCGGGAGGGUUGGUGAAUGACGAGUCUUCAUCUACCCAACCCACUGCUGCGGGGUUACAGGAGUACGCCAUACAUGAUCAACCCUAGUUUUAAAGGUUUCAUCAAGCUUAAUUGAGGAUAGAGAAAAAGGAGGAACUUACAAAGUCGGACUACAAUGGCGGACUCGUGCAAAGCUUUUCAGGUGUAACAUCCAAAUCAUCAAAACAUGGUACCUGUGGUAUUGGGACAGGCCUCUGAGCACUAAAGCUAAGUUCAUCUGGGUCGUCAGGGAGAGGUGUCAUCUCUUCUGGCUCAUGUCCAUCUCAGGUUGCACCACCGGAGAACCAGUUCCUUUUGUUUCCGGGACUUGGACGUGAACUACGGAGUCCGACUCAAGCAGAGGAGAGAACCUGUGCUCCAGCAGGCCGAGGGAAGUAAGGACGGCCGGUGCGGAGG